GAGACCUGUAUCCGCAAUUGCUAACGACCAUUUCAUGGAAUCGAGCACAUUGUUGAGACUGCCUGGGAAACCAGGAGGAAGGCGCAGGCUACGGUAGGUCUGUAUGCUCCGAAUCUUCUGGGCUACACGCGCGCAACAAUGGUAAUGACAAUGUGAUGCAACUCCGAAAGGAGAAGCUAAUCCUCGAAACAUUACCCUAGUUCAGAUUGAGGGUUGUAACUCACCCUCAUAACGAUGGAAUCCCUAGUAAUCAGAUGUUAUCAGCAUCUGGUGAAUAU
RNAcentral lists this ribosomal RNA (278 nucleotides) under uncultured archaeon. RNAcentral describes it as "partial 16S rRNA". It matches the Rfam family "Archaeal small subunit ribosomal RNA", at positions 1047 to 1325 of the family's 1478-position model. The record is from RNAcentral.